This 455-nucleotide ribosomal RNA is filed under the name uncultured bacterium. RNAcentral's name for it is "bacterial SSU rRNA". It matches the Rfam family "Bacterial small subunit ribosomal RNA", at positions 340 to 786 of the family's 1533-position model. The record is from RNAcentral.
UACGGGAGGCAGCAGUGGGGAAUAUUGCACAAUGGGCGAAAGCCUGAUGCAGCUAUGCCGCGUGUAUGAAGAAGGCCUUAGGGUUGUAAAGUACUUUCAUCGGGGAGGAAAAACAAAACUAAUAAUUUUAUUUCUUGACGUUACCCGAAAAAGAAGCACCGGCUAACUCCGUGCCAGCAGCCGCGGUAAUACGGAGGGUGCUAGCGUUAAUCAGAAUUACUGGGCGUAAAGAGCACGUAGGUGGUUUUUUUAAGUCAGAUGUGAAAUCCCUGGGCUUAACCUAGGAACUGCAUUUUGAAACUAAAUAACUAGAGUAUCGUAGAGGGAGGUAGAAUUCUAGGUGUAGCGGUGAAAUGCGUAGAUAUCUGGAGGAAUACCUGUGGCGAAAGCGGCCUCCUAAACGAAUACUGACACUGAGGUGCGAAAGCGUGGGGAGCAAACAGGGAUUAGAUACC